Molecule: long non-coding RNA, 1549 nt
Filed under: Sus scrofa (pig)
Lineage: Eukaryota; Metazoa; Chordata; Mammalia; Artiodactyla; Suidae
Description: lncRNA (ENSSSCG00065064104.1)
Source: RNAcentral
UUUUUUUUUUUUUUCCUUCCAUGUGAGCCUCACCCUCCUCUCAUUAAGCCCUGAGAGGAAAAAUCUGACUCCCUGAGAGGAAACACUGACUGAAAGCCAGGUCACUUAAGUUAGAAAGGGAGACUGAUUACUUUAAAAAUGGUUACCUGAUUCGGAAUAGGCUCAGCUCACUGACUAAGGAGAAUAGUGAAGGAUUGGGAGGAGUGAGUGCCAUGGCUGGCAUUGAGGGAAAAACGCACCCUCUUAAAAGCUCUUAGUUGUUCUCAGAUUGAGAGGAGGAAUUAAAUCCUCUUUCUGGUGCACAGGACCACAGCAGCCCAUGGGUUUGGGCAGGAGGCAGGGCUCUGAGUUGUCAUUAGAAAGAAUGUCCACUAGAUGGCGCCAAUGCGCCAUCCAAGCUCUGCAGAAGCUUGUAUUGGCUCAGAGACUUGGUUGGAGAUGGGGAUGGUGGAUCCCCCAGGAGUGUCCCACCGGAGGUUGCCUAUAGCAUGCAACUGCCUCUCCAGGCCAAACUGGCCUCGGGAUGGCUGGGCUGGCGUUCAUCAGUGGAGAGUGUAAAAGCAGAGGUCCUUUGGAGGGCAGGUUGGGUGCAUCCCAGAGACCAAUCUCUUGAGGGAUCUCUGAAAAGUUCUGCAUUUUCCUUUCACUUGAGCUGGUAAUGGAGCCCUAAGGCUGCCCUUAUUUUUCUGACAGACAGAGAUGAAGAAGAGAGGACCAAGUCAGGCCCAAAGUGCUGAAGAGCAGUGCCAACAGAACUGGGAGGGGUCAGGAGGCAGAAGAAUGGGAUCUGAAGGGCUGGUAUGGAUAAUGGCUGCUAGACAACAAUGAGCCCAUCUUCUGCUUGGUGUUGGCAAGUCCAGACUCAGAGAUGCCAGGGUUGCCAAUGGCGCUGGUGGAAACCCAAAGAUAAGCCCAGCGAUGGAAGGUGAGUUAUGGGCUUCUUCUGACUCUUGGAUCGACUAUGCAUAUCCUGACAAUGGGACCAGAGCUCUUCCUUCAUGUCUAGAGGUUGUUUCCAUACUGUUCCUGGAGCCCUGAGACCAGGCAAUGGGACCAGCUAACCGUAGCCUGAAUACCUUUGGAUUCACCAAGGGUGUAGACUUGAAUCCAAAAAUACCUGGUUUGAAACUUGGGCAUGCAGUCCUCGAGAGUCAGGCUGUUGUCCUUGUGGCAUCUGGAAAGCAGUGCCCGUGGACCUGAUUGGAGGGUGUAGAAGGGGGUUUGUGGCUGGCCAGGCUAUUCUCAUCCCUGGGAUCUAUCUCUGGAAUUUCUCCACAGAGGUCCUUUUUUUUUUUUUUUCUCCCUAAGCCAGUUUUUUCUGGCAGUUACCCCCGGGAGAUUGAAAAGUAGCCAAAACUGGGUCAUGUGAAUUGAGGCAGGCAGAUGAAUUUCCAGCUGGUUGCCUGACUUGAAGUCAGAUUGGCCGAUGGCAGUGGAAGAGUGCAGUUGUACAGGGAGAAAGGAGUGAACUGGGAGAGGUUGAGAGAGACACCGCACACUCUCGUGUAAGGCACGUGGUGGCUCUUAGAGUGAGAGUAGGAGGGAAAUC